RNAcentral lists this ribosomal RNA (1346 nucleotides) under uncultured bacterium. Its description in RNAcentral is "partial 16S ribosomal RNA". It matches the Rfam family "Bacterial small subunit ribosomal RNA", at positions 28 to 1381 of the family's 1533-position model. The record is from RNAcentral.
GACGAACGCUGGCGGCGUGCUUAACACAUGCAAGUCGAACGGAAAGGCCCUGCUUUUGUGGGGUGCUCGAGUGGCGAACGGGUGAGUAACACGUGAGUAACCUGCCCUUGACUUUGGGAUAACUUCAGGAAACUGGGGCUAAUACCGGAUAGGAGCUCCUGCUGCAUGGUGGGGGUUGGAAAGUUUCGGCGGUUGGGGAUGGACUCGCGGCUUAUCAGCUUGUUGGUGGGGUAGUGGCUUACCAAGGCUUUGACGGGUAGCCGGCCUGAGAGGGUGACCGGCCACAUUGGGACUGAGAUACGGCCCAGACUCCUACGGGAGGCAGCAGUGGGGAAUAUUGCACAAUGGGCGGAAGCCUGAUGCAGCAACGCCGCGUGCGGGAUGACGGCCUUCGGGUUGUAAACCGCUUUCGCCUGUGACGAAGCGUGAGUGACGGUAAUGGGUAAAGAAGCACCGGCUAACUACGUGCCAGCAGCCGCGGUGAUACGUAGGGUGCGAGCGUUGUCCGGAUUUAUUGGGCGUAAAGGGCUCGUAGGUGGUUGAUCGCGUCGGAAGUGUAAUCUUGGGGCUUAACCCUGAGCGUGCUUUCGAUACGGGUUGACUUGAGGAAGGUAGGGGAGAAUGGAAUUCCUGGUGGAGCGGUGGAAUGCGCAGAUAUCAGGAGGAACACCAGUGGCGAAGGCGGUUCUCUGGGCCUUUCCUGACGCUGAGGAGCGAAAGCGUGGGGAGCGAACAGGCUUAGAUACCCUGGUAGUCCACGCUGUAAACGGUGGGUACUAGGUGUGGGGUCCAUUCCACGGGUUCCGUGCCGUAGCUAACGCUUUAAGUACCCCGCCUGGGGAGUACGGCCGCAAGGCUAAAACUCAAAGGAAUUGACGGGGCCCCGCACAAGCGGCGGAGCAUGCGGAUUAAUUCGAUGCAACGCGUAGAACCUUACCUGGGUUUGACAUGGAUCGGGAGUGCUCAGAGAUGGGUGUGCCUCUUUUGGGGUCGGUGCACAGGUGGUGCAUGGCUGUCGUCAGCUCGUGUCGUGAGAUGUUGGGUUAAGUCCCGCAACGAGCGCAACCCUUGUUCACUGUUGCCAGCACGUUAUGGUGGGGACUCAGUGGAGACCGCCGGGGUCAACUCGGAGGAAGGUGGGGAUGACGUCAAGUCAUCAUGCCCCUUAUGUCCAGGGCUUCACGCAUGCUACAAUGGCUGGUACAGAGAGUGGCGAGCCUGUGAGGGUGAGCGAAUCUCGGAAAGCCGGUCUCAGUUCGGAUUGGGGUCUGCAACUCGACCUCAUGAAGUCGGAGUCGCUAGUAAUCGCAGAUCAGCAACGCUGCGGUGAAUACGUUCCCGGGGCU